Molecule: ribosomal RNA, 1501 nt
Filed under: uncultured bacterium
Lineage: Bacteria
Description: bacterial SSU rRNA
Rfam family: Bacterial small subunit ribosomal RNA
Source: RNAcentral
AGAGUUUGAUCCUGGCUCAGAUUGAACGCUGGCGGCAGGCCUAACACAUGCAAGUCGAACGGUAGCACAGAGGAGCUUGCUCCUUGGGUGACGAGUGGCGGACGGGUGAGUAAUGUCUGGGAAACUGCCCGAUGGAGGGGGAUAACUACCGGAAACGGUAGCUAAUACCGCAUAACGUCGCAAGACCAAAGUGGGGGACCUUCGGGCCUCACACCAUCGGAUGUGCCCAGAUGGGAUUAGCUAGUAGGUGGGGUAACGGCUCACCUAGGCGACGAUCCCUAGCUGGUCUGAGAGGAUGACCAGCCACACUGGAACUGAGACACGGUCCAGACUCCUACGGGAGGCAGCAGUGGGGAAUAUUGCACAAUGGGCGCAAGCCUGAUGCAGCCAUGCCGCGUGUAUGAAGAAGGCCUUCGGGUUGUAAAGUACUUUCAGCGAGGAGGAAGGCAUUAAGGUUAAUAACCUUAGUGAUUGACGUUACUCGCAGAAGAAGCACCGGCUAACUCCGUGCCAGCAGCCGCGGUAAUACGGAGGGUGCAAGCGUUAAUCGGAAUUACUGGGCGUAAAGCGCACGCAGGCGGUUUGUUAAGUCAGAUGUGAAAUCCCCGGGCUCAACCUGGGAACUGCAUUUGAAACUGGCAAGCUUGAGUCUCGUAGAGGGGGGUAGAAUUCCAGGUGUAGCGGUGAAAUGCGUAGAGAUCUGGAGGAAUACCGGUGGCGAAGGCGGCCCCCUGGACGAAGACUGACGCUCAGUGCGAAAGCGUGGGGAGCAAACAGGAUUAGAUACCCUGUAGUCCACGCCGUAAACGAUGUCGACUUGGAGGUUGUGCCCCUGAGGCGUGGCUUCCGGAGCUAACGCGUUAAGUCGACCGCCUGGGGAGUACGGCCGCAAGGUUAAAACUCAAAUGAAUUGACGGGGGCCCGCACAAGCGGUGGAGCAUGUGGUUUAAUUCGAUGCAACGCGAAGAACCUUACCUACUCUUGACAUCCAGAGAACUUAGCAGAGAUGCUUUGGUGCCUUCGGGAACUCUGAGACAGGUGCUGCAUGGCUGUCGUCAGCUCGUGUUGUGAAAUGUUGGGUUAAGUCCCGCAACGAGCGCAACCCUUGUCCUUUGUUGCCAGCGGUUCGGCCGGGAACUCAAAGGAGACUGCCAGUGAUAAACUGGAGGAAGGUGGGGAUGACGUCAAGUCAUCAUGGCCCUUACGAGUAGGGCUACACACGUGCUACAAUGGCAUAUACAAAGAGAAGCGACCUCGCGAGAGCAAGCGGACCUCAUAAAGUAUGUCGUAGUCCGGAUUGGAGUCUGCAACUCGACUCCAUGAAGUCGGAAUCGCUAGUAAUCGUAGAUCAGAAUGCUACGGUGAAUACGUUCCCGGGCCUUGUACACACCGCCCGUCACACCAUGGGAGUGGGUUGCAAAAGAAGUAGGUAGCUUAACCUUCGGGAGGGCGCUUACCACUUUGUGAUUCAUGACUGGGGUGAAGUCGUAACAAGGUAACC